AAAUUGAAGAGUUUGAUCAUGGCUCAGAUUGAACGCUGGCGGCAGGCCUAACACAUGCAAGUCGAACGGUAACAGGAAGCAGCUUGCUGCUUCGCUGACGAGUGGCGGACGGGUGAGUAAUGUCUGGGAAACUGCCUGAUGGAGGGGGAUAACUACUGGAAACGGUGGCUAAUACCGCAUAACGUCGCAAGACCAAAGAGGGGGACCUUCGGGCCUCUUGCCAUCAGAUGUGCCCAGAUGGGAUUAGCUUGUUGGUGAGGUAACG
RNAcentral lists this ribosomal RNA (265 nucleotides) under Salmonella enterica subsp. enterica serovar Senftenberg. RNAcentral's name for it is "partial 16S ribosomal RNA". It matches the Rfam family "Bacterial small subunit ribosomal RNA", at positions 1 to 262 of the family's 1533-position model. Lineage: Bacteria; Pseudomonadati; Pseudomonadota; Gammaproteobacteria; Enterobacterales; Enterobacteriaceae. RNAcentral also lists the same sequence under 2 other names. The record is from RNAcentral.